Molecule: ribosomal RNA, 2585 nt
Filed under: Haloferax sp. ATCC BAA-644
Lineage: Archaea; Methanobacteriati; Methanobacteriota; Halobacteria; Halobacteriales; Haloferacaceae
Description: bacterial LSU rRNA
Rfam family: Archaeal large subunit ribosomal RNA
Source: RNAcentral
GAACCAGAUCCCGGGGUUGUUCCAGAAUAGCGGGGGUUGGAUAUCCCUCGUGAAUCUCGCAGGCAUCAACUGCGAAGACUAAACACUCCUCGAGACCGAUAGCGAACAAGUAGCGUGAGCGAACGCUGAAAAGCACCCCGAACAGGGCGGUGCAAUAGGGCUUGAAAUCAGUUGGCGAUAGAGCGACGUGGCAUACAAGGUCACUCGACGAAAGAACUGGGAGCGAUCCCGUAGUAUGACUCGAGUGAAGCCGAUGUUACGUCGUGCGUUUUGAAAAACGAACCAUGGAGUGCAUCUGACUGGCGAGUCUAAGGGGAGAACCCCCGGAGGCAUAGGGAAACCGAUACGGCCGCAGUCUUUGACCAGGGCCACCGUCUUCAAGGGCGGGGAGCCAACCGGAUGCGACCCGAAACCAAGUGAUCUACGCCGGAGCAGGGCGAAGCGUGGCGAAAGCUGCGUGGAGGCCCGUUAGAGUUGGUGUCCUACAAUACCCUCUCGUGACUCUGGUGUAGGGGGGAAAGGCCCAUCGAACUUGGCAACAGCUGGUUCCAACCGAAACAUGUCGAAGCAUGACCUCUGAUGAGAUAGUUCGUGAGGUAGAGCGACCGAUUGGGAAUCCGGACUCCGAGAGGAGUUCGCUUCCCUGUCAAACUCCGAACUUACGAACGUCGUAGACUCAGGGAGUCCGGUGUGCGGGGUAAGCUUGUGCACCGUGAGGGAGACAACCCAGAGCCAGGUUAAGGACCCAAAGUGUGGAUUAAGUGUGAUUGAAGAUUGUCUCGAGCCCUAAACAGCCGGGAGGUGAGCUUAGAAGCAGCUACCCUCUAAGAAUAGCGUAACAGCUUACCGGCCGAGGUUCGAGGCGUCGAAAAUGAUCGGGACUCAAAUCCACCUCCGAGACCUGGCGGCGUGUCAUACGACACGAUUCCGUAGGUUGGCAUACUGCAUGGGUGGAAGCACGGGNCUCGUGUGGACCGUGCAGCAACGAAAAUCAUGGUCUCAGUAGCAGCGAGAGUCGGGUGUGAACCCCGACGGCCUUACGCGCAAGGGUUCCUCGGCACUGUCAAUCAGCCGAGGGUUAGUCGAUCCUAAGUCUAACCGUAAUUCGAAUUAGAUGAAAGGGAAACUGGUUAAUAUUCCAGUACCUUCUUGCACCAAACGUCGACGCUUUAGGAAACACCGAGCGGGGCCUUCGCCCCGUCGAAUCACCGAACUUCGUGGAAGCCGUAACGGCACGAAGCGAACGAAUGGUGAGACAGGGAAACUCGGCGGUACCUAGAGCCCGUGAAAAGACAAGCAAGAAGCUCGUACCGAGAUCCGACACAGGUGCGCUGGCAGAGCAAGCCAAGGCCUGUCGGGAUCAACCGACGUUAGGGAAUUCGGCAAGUUAGUCCCGUAAGUUCGCGAUAAGGGAUGCCUGCUCUUGACCGAGCAGGUCGCAGUGACUCGGACGCUCCGACUGUCUAGUAACAACAUAGGUGACCGCAAAUCCGCAAGGACUCGUACGGUCACUGAAUCCUGCCCAGUGCGGGUAUCUGAACACCUAGUACAAUAGGACGAAGGACCCGUCAACGGCGGGGGNCCGCAAGGACUCGUACGGUCACUGAAUCCUGCCCAGUGCGGGUAUCUGAACACCUAGUACAAUAGGACGAAGGACCCGUCAACGGCGGGGGUAACUAUGACCCUCUUAAGGUAGCGUAGUACCUUGCCGCUUCAGUAGCGGCUUGCAUGAAUGGAUCAACGAGAGCGUCACUGUCCCAACGUUGGGCCCGGUGAACAGUACGUUCCAGUGCGGAGUCUGGAGACCCCCAAGGGGAAGCGAAGACCCUAUAGAGCUUUACUGCAGGCUGUCGCUGAGACGUGGUCGCUAAUGUGCAGCAUAGGUAGGAGCCGUUACACAGGUACCCGCGCCAGCGGGCCACCGAGGCAACAUUGAAAUACUACCCGUUAGUGACUGCGACUCUCACUCCUGGCGGAGGACACCGGUAGCCGGGCAGUUUGACUGGGGCGGUACGCGCUCGAAAAGAUAUCGAGCGCGCCCAAAGAUUUCCUCACGCGAGUCGGGAACUCGUGGAAGAGCGCAAGAGCAAACGGAAGUCUGACAGUGACAUUCCCAACGAGUGUCGCUGACGCGAAAGCGUGGUCUAGCGAACCUACGAGGUUCAUUCAUGGGACCCGUAGAUGACAGAAAAGCUACCUUAGGGAUAACAGAGUCGUCACCGGCAAGAGCACAUAUCGACCCGGUGGCUUGCUACCUCGAUGUCGGUUCCCUCCAUCCUGCCUGUGCAGAAGCAGGCAAGGGGGAGGUUGUUCGCCUAUUAAAGGAGGUCGUGAGCUGGGUUUAGACCGUCGUGAGACAGGUCGGCUGCUAUCUAUUGGGGGUGUUAAGGAACUUGACGUGAACGUUCGUAUAGUACGAGAGGAACUACGAAUGGGUGCCACUGGUGUACCGGUUGUCCGAGAGGGCAGAUGCCGGGCAGCUACGCACCACGGGGUAAGAGCUGAACGCAUCUAAGCUCGAAACCCACACGGAAAAGAAGUUCCACUGAGGACACUCGUAGAAGACGAGUUCGAUAGACUCGGGG